This 2607-nucleotide long non-coding RNA is filed under the name Helianthus annuus (common sunflower). RNAcentral's name for it is "hypothetical non coding rna". Lineage: Eukaryota; Viridiplantae; Streptophyta; Magnoliopsida; Asterales; Asteraceae. The record is from RNAcentral.
UUGUGAUAGUAACAAGAACACCCACAACUUGCAAGAACUCUCAAGGCUUUCCAGGAGCAAUCUGAUCGACAAGGCAGCCUCCAAGUGUUUUCUAGGCUUCAUUAGGACCUUUGUAAGCAUUCAUAUCAUCCUCAAAUCCGUUCUAGCAUAGAUUAUUAGUUAAGAGUCAAACCGUUGUUCAUAAAGUUUGACUUUUCGAUUAAACGAAAUUGGCUCUGUCAUUUCUCAAAUUGAAACCACUUAUAAGUUGGUAUUUAUGUGGGAAACAAACCCUCAAAAGGGUAUUCUCUGAUUCCCACUCUAAGCAUGCUAUUUGUCGAGUCAAAGAUGUUCUUAAAAAGUCAACAGAAAUCGUUUUUGCGAAAUAUAGCAUAAAUGGUAAUGUAGAUGACAUGCAAUCAGUUUGAUCAUCAAAAAUAACUUAUAAUGAAUAUAAGAAUGUGUUUUAUCAUAAUCAACUCGACAAUCUUUAGUAUAAACUCGGAUCGGAACCGAAAGUCUUAUAAAACGACUUUUUCGUAGACUAUCGAUUCGGAUCCGUGCAUGCAUGUUUGAGAUCUGUAUUAGAGUGUAUUUUUGACCAUUUUUAUUUAUGUAUAACUUUCUGGAAUUUUUACAUCUUGAGUCUAUGCUUAACCGAUUCAUAUGCGUGUUUCCGAUUAUGCUUAAAAGUUGACUAUUUUGCCCUUUUUGAUAUAAAACGUGAUUUUUGGAAAAGUGAAAGAGUAGAAAUCUUUAUUAUUAAUUUAUAAACUUGCACCGAAAAUUUGAGAUCAGUUGGUGGUCCAGAUUUUGAGUUAUGGCCGAUAGCGUGAAACUAUAUCUUUAUGUUAAAUAAACGGCGCAUUUAGCGUAUAACCUAGUUCAGGCCACUUUUCGAUAUAAAACUUUUUACCCACUGAUGUUAUAUAAUAUUCUGGGAUUUUUGAAGAUUUUUAUUUAAUUUUUGGCUGAUCGGAUCAUACGUCGCUAAGUCGAUUCGGUUAAUGCCGGUUUUGACCGUUUAAGCCAUAAAAUGAGUUUUAUACAUUCUUUUGACCCCAAACCUUUUUCUACUGAUUUUAUUUGUUAAAUAAAUUAUUUUGGGCAUUCUGGAAAUAUAAAAAUCUCAGCUUUCUUUUAAAAACCCGGAAACGGCUCUAAAUCGCAUUUUUAGCGUUUUUAGCACAUUGUAAGCGUUAUACUCAUAUUAAACAUAUAAGACUCAUACCUACUGAUGUAUUUAGCAUAUUUUCAUAUAAUAACAGUAAGUAUAAGAUUUUGAACUCAGAUUUCCAGUUUUGUCGUUUUUAGCCCUUGUGAAAUUACUAAAAUACCCCUACGGUGCAUAGUUUGAUUUUAAAUGAUAAGUUUUGUCUACGGGUCAUACCCUACUGUUAUAAUAUGGCAAAUUAAGUAUAUUUACUGUAUAAAUCAGACCUGUAACUCAGAUUACCAAAUUGACUCUUUCAUAAUCUUUUAAAUGACCAAAAUGCCCUUAUGAGGCGUAAAUUGAGUUUAAAUACAUUCGGGGCAUAAUAGGACAUAACUUGCUGAUAUUAUAUCAUAUUUAAAGCAUAUUAUCUCAGGGAACUUGCAUAUGACUCUUUUGGUUACCCGUAACGCCCUUUUUGCGUUCGGUUCGGUUUACGUAACUAGUUUGCGUAAAUUGACCGAAACGGGUCAAACGUUAUCAUUUUUAUCUCAAAAUCCAGAAUGUAUUUAGUAUACCCAUAUUAUACAAGUAUUCAAACUUGUCGGGUCUAAAUCACAUUCUAUCCGGUCUUUCGCUUAAUCAUGCGUCUUAACCGUAUAUUUCUUUAAGACUAACCGGUCUAAGCUUAGGCUUAAUUAAAGACCCGUUAGCAGUCUAAUUGGUUAUUUAUACCAUUAUUCCAGAAUAGAGCCUUCCGUUAAAUUGUACCUACGCUUACUUAAGUGAAUACGGCUGAGUUAUUAUUCUUGCUAUUUAAGACAGGAGCUAGCUCAGGUAAAUACUUUUAACUUAUUUUCCCUUAUACGGGCUUGGGAUACGGUAUUAUAAAAAUACCGCUUGGUCGGGUGUAGAAACCGUUUAAUCGGAGAUGAUUAAAUUGCAUAAUCCCGUUUUAAUCUGUAUUGAUUGAUAACAAAUAACAUUGGGGGUUAAUGACCGUGUCCUGGAUAUCCUUGGCUCAUUUUAAAAAGUGAAUGGCCACGACGUAAGCACAAGGUGUAGGCAAAACACCUCCUGUUGCAUAUGUAUAACGUAUACUCACUCGUAAGGGUAUCUUCUUGUGAGAUUAUAUUUGUGGUGUGUCGAUUAAUCUUGUCCGGCUUGUAUUGUAUAAUCACCGGCCCUAAAUGUUGGACAACCAUGUAAAUCGGAUACAAGAUUUUUAUUAAUAAAAUUGUCCCAAGUAUAAAGAUUAAUCUUGCCUCUGUGCAUUUUAAUCAAUGUGUCAAGAUAUUUUGUGCCGUACUAUGCGUAAUUGGCUGGGAGCUCGGGGCGUCACUAGGGAAUCUUGCAAGUUCUAGAUGCCUAAAGUCUAUUGAACAGUUUUCUUUUAUUGAUCCGCCUGUGGAUCCUUUACCUUCCGUUGUAAUACUUUGACAUUACUUAUAUUCGGAAUGUAAUAUAUUUAUCUU